AUAAUACAGAACCUAUAGAUACAGUAUAUUUUAUAAUACAGAACCUGUGGAUAUAGAACAUUAUAUAAUACAGAAUCUGUGGAUACAGUAUAUUGUAUAAUAAUGUGUAGCGUGGCCAGAUUCUCUGAGACUGACUCUGCUAGCGGCUGGUAGCCGAUUGGUUGUGAAACAGAAUGACCGGAGCAGGAAACAUAUCUAGACAGAAAGGG
Non-coding RNA from Pelobates cultripes (western spadefoot toad), 209 nucleotides. The record is from the annotation of a GenBank genome assembly. Lineage: Eukaryota; Metazoa; Chordata; Amphibia; Anura; Pelobatidae.